Molecule: long non-coding RNA, 490 nt
Organism: Penaeus indicus
Lineage: Eukaryota; Metazoa; Arthropoda; Malacostraca; Decapoda; Penaeidae
Exons: 3
Source: RefSeq, a predicted model, not a curated record
ACUGUGCGAGAAGGUGUGUGAGUGUGUAAGUGCAAGCGGUUUCCGACUUUGUGAUCGUUGUAGAGCAUUGAUAUAUAUAAAACCUUCUGUGUCAUAAUAUAUAAGUUUAGUGUGUAUAUAUCUAUCGUGCUACAGUAAGAAUUUAGCUUAGGCAUCACAGUAAAAUGGUGUAAAAUACGAGCGGCAUCCCCGUGUUCAAGGGAGCCUCCUCUCCCAAGGUUAUAUCCUCGUCUUCGGAACUCUUUACUUCAAGAACAGAUUGUGAUGUUGUUGUGAUCGAGGCCGGACUCUUCCGCCUUCACAUCAACACGCUGGUCUUCCACCUGUGCCAACAUCCACCAAAAUGCCGCUCAGUUCAGGUAAGGACCCGAGAACCGCCAUGACCUCUCAUCACCCUGCGGUAAUGAAUAGGAUGCUGAAUGCGAAGUCAUCCCUGCGAACAGUCUGAGGAAUAGAGAGUGAGUGAGUGAGUUAGUGAGUGAGUGAGUGA